RNAcentral lists this ribosomal RNA (274 nucleotides) under uncultured bacterium. RNAcentral's name for it is "partial 16S ribosomal RNA". It matches the Rfam family "Bacterial small subunit ribosomal RNA", at positions 523 to 796 of the family's 1533-position model. The record is from RNAcentral.
CUACGGAGGGGGUUAGCGUUGUUCGGAAUUACUGGGCGUAAAGCGCGCGUAGGCGGAUUGGUAAGUUAGAGGUGAAAUCCCGGGGCUCAACCCCGGAACUGCCUUUGAUACUGCCAGUCUUGAGUUCGCGAGAGGUGAGUGGAAUUCCGAGUGUAGAGGUGAAAUUCGUAGAUAUUCGGAGGAACACCAGUGGCGAAGGCGGCUCACUGGCUCGAUACUGACGCUGAGGUGCGAAAGCGUGGGGAGCAAACAGGAUUAGAAACCCUAGUAGUCC